Molecule: ribosomal RNA, 253 nt
Filed under: uncultured bacterium
Lineage: Bacteria
Description: partial 16S ribosomal RNA
Rfam family: Bacterial small subunit ribosomal RNA
Source: RNAcentral
UACGGAGGGUGCAAGCGUUAUCCGGAUUCACUGGGUUUAAAGGGUGCGUAGGAGGGCAGGUAAGUCAGUGGUGAAAUCCCCGAGCUUAACUUGGGAACUGCCGUUGAUACUAUCUGUCUUGAAUAUGGUGGAGGUAAGCGGAAUAUGUCAUGUAGCGGUGAAAUGCUUAGAUAUGACAUAGAACACCUAUUGCGAAGGCAGCUUACUACGCCUAUAUUGACGCUGAGGCACGAAAGCGUGGGGAUCAAACAGG